GGUCCAAAUGCAGGGGUGUUUACAAUUAAUUGAUCACAGCCAGUUACAGAUUUCUUUGUUCCUUUUUCUACUCCUACAGCUUUACUUGAUGAGCCAACA
This 99-nucleotide non-coding RNA is filed under the name Canis lupus dingo (dingo). Lineage: Eukaryota; Metazoa; Chordata; Mammalia; Carnivora; Canidae. The record is from RNAcentral.